GGCGCAAGCCUGAUGGAGCAACACCGCGUGAGUGAAGAAGGGUUUCGGCUCGUAAAACUCUGUUGUUGGAGAAGAACGUGCGUAAGAGUAACUGUUUACGCAGUGACGGUAUCCAACCAGAAAGUCACGGCUAACUACGUGCCAGCAGCCGCGGUAAUACGUAGGUGGCAAGCGUUAUCCGGAUUUAUUGGGCGUAAAGCGAGCGCAGGCGGUUGCUUAGGUCUGAUGUGAAAGCCUUCGGCUUAACCGAAGAAGUGCAUCGGAAACCGGGCGACUUGAGUGCAGAAGAGGACAGUGGAACUCCAUGUGUAGCGGUGGAAUGCGUAGAUAUAUGGAAGAACACCAGUGGCGAAGGCGGCUGUCUGGUCUGCAACUGACGCUGAGGCUCGAAAGCAUGGGUAGCGAACAGGAUUAGAUACCCUGGUAGUCCAUGCCGUAAACGAUGAGUGCUAGGUGUUGGAGGGUUUCCGCCCUUCAGUGCCGAAGCUAACGCAUUAAGCACUCCGCCUGGGGAGUACGACCGCAAGGUUGAAACUCAAAGGAAUUGACGGGGGCCCGCACAAGCGGUGGAGCAUGUGGUUUAAUUCGAAGCUACGCGAAGAACCUUACCAGGUCUUGACAUCUUGCGCCAACCUCAGAGAUGAGGCGUUCCCUUCGGGGACGC
RNAcentral lists this ribosomal RNA (664 nucleotides) under Limosilactobacillus oris. RNAcentral describes it as "bacterial SSU rRNA". It matches the Rfam family "Bacterial small subunit ribosomal RNA", at positions 374 to 1029 of the family's 1533-position model. Lineage: Bacteria; Bacillati; Bacillota; Bacilli; Lactobacillales; Lactobacillaceae. The record is from RNAcentral.